This is an RNA transcript of Sinocyclocheilus grahami, 609 nucleotides long. It is a transcript of the gene named complement C2-like, with no coding region annotated. The record is from RefSeq and is a predicted model, not a curated record. NCBI's taxonomy places the organism in Eukaryota, Metazoa, Chordata, Actinopteri, Cypriniformes, Cyprinidae. The transcript is spliced from 4 exons.
UUUCCAAUUCUAAAUGCGUAAUGCUCUUUCCCAAAAGAUUAGCUAUUACAAGGUUUCCCCAAACUAUGAGAUCCUGAUGUUUGAUACGGACGUUACACGGAUAAUCUCUUUGAGGGACUUCAAAAGUAAUGAAUUUUCAAGAAACCUAACAAAGGUUUUUGAAGAUCUGGACAAUUUUAAUUAUGAUGAUCAAACAGAUACUAAUAUCGCCAAACUCUACUGGAACAUUUUACUCAGCAUGCAAAUAGAUGAGCUCUACAAUCCAACAGCCUUCCUUGAGACCCAACAUAUCGUCAUCGUAUUCACUGAUGGUAUUGACUCCUAUGCAAGACAAACAUGGGGGGAAUCCCGCACCUAAAGUGGACCAAAUUAAACAGCUUGUCACCAAACAUGAUCCAAAGUGAGAGGAGAAACUCGCACUUUAUGUAUUUGGAGUUGGAGUUGACAUAAAAAUAGAAAAUAUAAAUCGCUUAGCAUCACACAGGGACAAAGAAAAACAUGUAUUUAAGCUUCCAGACUUGGACGAGGUGCAGAAGAUAUUUGACAGAAUGAUUGGUACUGUAUCUAUAAUUCACUCAUAUGUGAAAUUUGAAUAUCUAUUCAGCAUAU